GUGGAGCAAUCCAUGAGUACAGUGGCGCACGGGUGAGUAACACGUGAAUGAUCUACCUCCGAGUGGGGAAUAACUGAGAGAAAUCUUAGCUAAUACCGCAUAAUACCCACGGGUCAAAGCAGCAAUGCGCUUGGAGAGGAAUUCGCGGCAGAUUAGUUAGUUGGCGGGGUAAUGGCCCACCAAGACGAUGAUCUGUAUCCGGCCUGAGAGGGCGCACGGACACACUGGAACUGAAACACGGUCCAGACUCCUACGGGAGGCAGCAGUGGGGAAUUUUGCGCAAUGGGGGAAACCCUGACGCAGCAACGCCGCGUGGAGGAUGAAAUCCCUUGGGAUGUAAACUCCUUUCGAUAGGGAAGAUUAUGACGGUACCUAUAGAAGAAGCCCCGGCUAACUUCGUGCCAGCAGCCGCGGUAAUACGAGGGGGGCAAGCGUUGUUCGGAAUUAUUGGGCGUAAAGGGUGCGUAGGCGGCCUGACAAGUCUGAUGUGAAAUCUAUGGGCUCAACCCAUAGCCUGCAUCGGAAACUGUCGGGCUUGAGUAUGGGAGAGGUGAGUGGAAUUUCCGGUGUAGCGGUGAAAUGCGUAGAUAUCGGAAGGAACACCUGUGGCGAAAGCGGCUCACUGGACCAUUACUGACGCUGAGGCACGAAAGCUAGGGGAGCAAACAGGAUUAGAUACCCUGGUAGUCCUAGCCCUAAACGAUGAUUGCUUGAUGUGGCAGGUACCCAAUCCUGCCGUGUCGAAGCUAACGCGAUAAGCAAUCCGCCUGGGGAGUACGGCCGCAGGCUGAAACUCAAAGGAAUUGAC
Molecule: ribosomal RNA, 808 nt
Filed under: uncultured Pseudomonadota bacterium
Lineage: Bacteria; Pseudomonadati; Pseudomonadota
Description: bacterial SSU rRNA
Rfam family: Bacterial small subunit ribosomal RNA
Source: RNAcentral